Molecule: ribosomal RNA, 330 nt
Filed under: uncultured eukaryote
Lineage: Eukaryota
Description: partial 18S ribosomal RNA
Rfam family: Eukaryotic small subunit ribosomal RNA
Source: RNAcentral
CCCUUAGAUGUUCUGGGCCGCACGCGCGCUACACUGAUGCAUUCAACAAGCCUAGCCUUGACCGAGAGGUCCGGGUAAUCUUUGAAACUGCAUCGUGAUGGGGCUAGAUUAUUGCAAUUAUUAAUCUUCAACGAGGAAUGCCUAGUAAGCGUGAUUCAUCAAAUCGCGUUGAUUACGUCCCUGCCCUUUGUACACACCGCCCGUCGCUCCUACCGAUUGAAUGAUCCGGUGAACCCCUCGGAUCGGGGACGGUGCCCGUCGGUCUCCGGCGGGCCAGCCCUCGAAAAGUUGGGUAAACCUUAUCAUUUAGAGGAAGGAGAAGUCGUAACA